GACGGUACUUGAGGAAUAAGCCACGGCUAAUUCCGUGCCAGCAGCCGCGGUAAUACGGGAGUGGCAAGCGUUAUCCGGAAUUAUUGGGCGUAAAGCGUCCGCAGGCGGCCUUGUAAGUCUGUCGUUAAAGCGUGGAGCUCAACUCCAUUUCAGCGAUGGAAACUACAAGGCUUGAGUGUGGUAGGGGCAGAGGGAAUUCCCGGUGUAGCGGUGAAAUGCGUAGAUAUCGGGAAGAACACCAGUGGCGAAGGCGCUCUGCUGGGCCAUAACUGACGCUCAUGGACGAAAGCCAGGGGAGCGAAAGGGAUUAGAUACCCCUGUAGUCCUGGCCGUAAACGAUGAACACUAGGUGUCGGGGGAAUCGACCCCCUCGGUGUCGUAGCCAACGCGUUAAGUGUUCCGCCUGGGGAGUACGCACGCAAGUGUGAAACUCAAAGGAAUUGACGGGGGCCCGCACAAGCGGUGGAGUAUGUGGUUUAAUUCGAUGCAACGCGAAGAACCUUACCAGGGUUUGACAUCCUGCGAAUCCCUUGGAAACGAGGGAGUGCCUUCGGGAGCGCAGAGACAGGUGGUGCAUGGCUGUCGUCAGCUCGUGUCGUGAGAUGUUGGGUUAAGUCCCGCAACGAGCGCAACCCACGUCUUUAGUUGCCAGCAUUCAGUUGGGCACUCUAGAGAGACCGCCGGUGAUAAACCGGAGGAAGGUGUGGAUGACGUCAAGUCAUCAUGCCCCUUACAUCCUGGGCUACACACGUACUACAAUGCUACGGACAAAGGGCAGCAAGCUCGCGAGAGUAAGCAAAUCCCAUAAACCGUGGCUCAGUUCAGAUCGUAGGCUGCAACUCGCCUACGUGAAGGAGGAAUCGCUAGUAAUCGCAGGUCAGCAUACUGCGGUGAAUACGUUCCCGGGCCUUGUACACACCGCCCGUCACACCAUGGAAGUUGGCCAUGCCCGAAGUCGUUACUCCAACCCUUGUGGAGGAGGACGC
This 986-nucleotide ribosomal RNA is filed under the name uncultured cyanobacterium. RNAcentral describes it as "bacterial SSU rRNA". It matches the Rfam family "Bacterial small subunit ribosomal RNA", at positions 471 to 1456 of the family's 1533-position model. Lineage: Bacteria; Bacillati; Cyanobacteriota. The record is from RNAcentral.